UGCAAGUCGAGCGAGAAAGUAUCUUCGGAUAUGAGUAGAGCGGCGGACGGGUGAGUAACGCGUAGGAAUCUACCUAGUAGAAGGGGAUAGCCCGGGGAAACUCGGAUUAAUACCGUAUACCUCCUUAGGGAGAAAGAGGGCCUCUCUUGAAGCUCUCGCUAUUAGAUGAGCCUGCGUAAGAUUAGCUUGUUGGUAAGGUAAUGGCUUACCAAGGCUACGAUCUUUAGCUGGUCUGAGAGGACGAUCAGCCACAUUGGGACUGAGACACGGCCCAGACUCCUACGGGAGGCAGCAGUGGGGAAUAUUGGACAAUGGGCGCAAGCCUGAUCCAGCCAUACCGCGUGUGUGAAGAAGGCCUUCGGGUUGUAAAGCACUUUAAGCAGGGAGAAAAAGCAAUAAGUUAAUACCUUAUUGCCGUGAUGUUACCUGCAGAAUAAGCACCGGCUAAUUCCGUGCCAGCAGCCGCGGUAAUACGGAAGGUGCAAGCGUUAAUCGGAAUUACUGGGCGUAAAGCGCGCGUAGGUGGUUUGUUAAGUUGGAUGUGAAAGCCCUGGGCUCAACCUAGGAACUGCAUCCAAAACUAACUCACUAGAGUACGAUAGAGGGAGGUAGAAUUCAUAGUGUAGCGGUGGAAUGCGUAG
RNAcentral lists this ribosomal RNA (641 nucleotides) under uncultured marine bacterium. RNAcentral describes it as "bacterial SSU rRNA". It matches the Rfam family "Bacterial small subunit ribosomal RNA", at positions 56 to 693 of the family's 1533-position model. The record is from RNAcentral.